GACGAACGCUGGCGGCGUGCUUAACACAUGCAAGUCGAACGGAAAGGCCCUGCUUUUGUGGGGUGCUCGAGUGGCGAACGGGUGAGUAACACGUGAGUAAACUGCCCUUGACUUUGUGAUAACUUCAGGAAACUGGGGCUAAUACCGGAUAGGAGCUCCUGCUGCAUGGUGGGGGUUGGAAAGUUUCGGCGGUUGGGGAUGGACUGGCGGCUUAUCAGCUUGUUGGUGGGGUAGUGGCUUACCAAGGCUUUGACGGGUAGCCGGCCUGAGAGGUUGACCGGCCACAUGGGGACUGAGAGACGGCGCAGACGCCUACGUGAGGCAGCAGUGGGGAAUAUUGCGCAAUGGGCGGAAGUCUGAGACGGCAACGUCGCGUGCGGGAUGACGGCCUUCGGGUGGUAAACAGAUUUCGCCUGUGACGAAGAGUGAGUGACGGUAAUGGGUAAGGAAGCACCGGCUAACUACGUG
Molecule: ribosomal RNA, 468 nt
Filed under: uncultured bacterium
Lineage: Bacteria
Description: partial 16S ribosomal RNA
Rfam family: Bacterial small subunit ribosomal RNA
Source: RNAcentral